This 233-nucleotide ribosomal RNA is filed under the name uncultured bacterium. Its description in RNAcentral is "partial 16S ribosomal RNA". It matches the Rfam family "Bacterial small subunit ribosomal RNA", at positions 335 to 573 of the family's 1533-position model. The record is from RNAcentral.
ACUCCUACGGGAGGCAGCAGUGGGGAAUAUUGCACAAUGGGGGAAAGCCCAUCGAUGCAGCGACGCAGCGUGCGGGAUGACGGGCCUUCGGGUUGUGAAAUCCGCAUUUCAGCAGGGAAGAAGCGCAAGUGACGGUACCUGCAGAAGAAGUACCGGCUAACUACGUGCCAGCAGCCGCGGUAAUACGUAGGGUACGAGCGUUGUCCGGAAUUAUUGGGCGUAAAGAGCUCGUA